RNAcentral lists this long non-coding RNA (753 nucleotides) under Gossypium barbadense (sea-island cotton). RNAcentral describes it as "long non-coding RNA (GBAR_LNC013930)". Lineage: Eukaryota; Viridiplantae; Streptophyta; Magnoliopsida; Malvales; Malvaceae. The record is from RNAcentral.
AGAGAGAGAGAGAUGCUCUCUCAGGCCACAAGUCCGGCCAUGGAUUCCGGCGCGCCUCCGCUGUAGCACCGCUGCGGGCUUGAAGCCGAUUGCUUCUAGGUCAUGGAUCCAGGGCCGAAUCCCGUGAAAGAAAAAGCCAAAGGCCCGGAAACAAGGCGAGAUCGCUCGCCUUCUCCUCCUCCGGCGUAGCGCAAGUAAGGAUUUUCCUUUUCUUUUUGUUUUCUUUUCUUUUUAGUAUGAACAAUAAAGAAAAACAAAAAUAAAAAAAAUGAGCAGAAUACAAGAAAUACGAAGAGAAAAAAAAACCUUUUUAAGAAAUCUUUUUCUUUUAUUUCUCUUUAAUGUUCGUGAAAAAAAAAUCCCCCUUACAUUUGUUUGAUUCGACUUUUAUAGCUGUUUUGGAUUACAGUGCAUGCUACUGUUCUAUACUGUUAUUUCCUUUUCUUCCACUGUUCUUGUUUCUAUUUUGUGUCAUUUGCAGGUCUUGGGCAAGUUUAUCAGAGGAGACUUACCAUCUUGGUGCAAAAAAGGGAUUGCUUCGAGCGGUGUGGGUGCCGAGGGCACACAUAGGGUAGGCUGCAACAGAUGUACGGCGGCACAUGGGAGCAGGUGGAUGUGGCGCCCUAGAGUUAGAGAUUAGGGUUUUUUUUCCUGAAAUGUUUUAGGUGAUUGGGCCAUUGGGCUUGUUGUUUUUUGGGUUUAAUUUAGUUUGUUGGGCUGGGGUCAAAAUGGGCCGUACAAUUACGAGAAGAU